AAGGACGUAGCGCAGGAAGCGCAAAGGACAGAACAGGGACUACGCAGGAGUUCUCACCAGGAUGGUGAGCGAUAUGGAUGUCAGGGAAACAGUCUGAAAGCCCCGCUUAUGCGGGGUUUU
Molecule: small RNA, 120 nt
Filed under: Pseudomonas cremoricolorata
Lineage: Bacteria; Pseudomonadati; Pseudomonadota; Gammaproteobacteria; Pseudomonadales; Pseudomonadaceae
Source: RNAcentral